Molecule: ribosomal RNA, 386 nt
Filed under: Picochlorum sp.
Lineage: Eukaryota; Viridiplantae; Chlorophyta; Trebouxiophyceae
Description: partial small subunit ribosomal RNA
Rfam family: Eukaryotic small subunit ribosomal RNA
Source: RNAcentral
AUUCCAGCUCCAAUAGCGUAUAUUUAAGUUGCUGCAGUUAAAAAGCUCGUAGUUGGAUUUCGGGUGGGAAUGGCCGGUCCGCCGUUUCGGUGUGCACUUGCUAGUCCCACCUUGCUGCCGGGGACGUGCUCUUGGGUUUCGGCUCGGGACACGGAGUCGGCGAGGUUACUUUGAGUAAAUUAGAGUGUUCAAAGCAGGCCUACGCUCUGAAUACAUUAGCAUGGAAUAACACGAUAGGACUCUGGCCUAUCUUGUUGGUCUGUAGGACCGGAGUAAUGAUUAAGAGGGACAGUCGGGGGCAUUCGUAUUUCAUUGUCAGAGGUGAAAUUCUUGGAUUUAUGAAAGACGAACUACUGCGAAAGCAUUUGCCAAGGAUGUUUUCAUUA